UACGAGAGGCCCAAACGUUAUUCGGAAUUACUGGGCUUAAAGAGUUCGUAGGCGGCGCAGAAAGUAGGGUGUGAAAGCCCUCGGCUUAACCGAGGAAUUGCGCUCUAAACUACUGUGCUUGAGGAAUCUAGAGGUGAGCGGAACUGAUGGUGGAGCGGUGAAAUGCGUUGAUAUCAUCAGGAACACCGGAGGCGAAGGCGGCUCACUGGGGAUUUUCUGACGCUGAGGUGCGAAAGCGUGGGGAGCAAACAGG
RNAcentral lists this ribosomal RNA (253 nucleotides) under uncultured bacterium. RNAcentral describes it as "partial 16S ribosomal RNA". It matches the Rfam family "Bacterial small subunit ribosomal RNA", at positions 524 to 776 of the family's 1533-position model. The record is from RNAcentral.